Molecule: long non-coding RNA, 1145 nt
Organism: Drosophila hydei
Lineage: Eukaryota; Metazoa; Arthropoda; Insecta; Diptera; Drosophilidae
Exons: 4
Source: RefSeq, a predicted model, not a curated record
UUUAUUCAGUUAUAGAGCUCCGCAGUGCUCACAUCUUAAAACAGUUAAAUUUCACGUGUAUCAAAAUUUAAAAUUCGAAAAGAAUGUAGACCGGAAUAGUCGGAUGUUUCGCUAAAUUUUGUCUGUUAAGAUGUCUCGGUAAAAGUUUUAAGAUGUUUCAAUUAUUUUUUUUUUGUUUUGUUUUUGGCUAGCAGCAACAACAGGAACAUCAGAAACAGCUAAACAAGUUACACGUGAUAUAAUCUACACUAAGAAUGUUUUUGUUUUCCUUUUGCUGGCCUUGCAAGUUUCAAGAUGAGUUAACAUUUCUUCGCGAGAAUCAAAUUCAGAAUUUUUCCUCAUCAAAGCCAAGUUUUUUACGUGAACAUCUAGCUGGAAUGGAUUAACGUUUUUAAGUUAAAACGGUGAAAUUGGGUUUGGAGCAAGGUCCGAGGACACAAAAGAUCCUUGUGUUUGCUCUGAUAAUUCAAUUGCAAUUGCUUUAAAAAUGAUACACUCAAAUUUUAUUGCUCUAUAUAUUAUACACAAAUGGAAACCGGAAACUAAUUCGUAGAUUUUCGAUCAUCCAUAUAUUAUAUUUGUUCUGACAACACUUACAUCGUUUUUGAGGCAAGGAGGCUGCCAAUCAUCAAUUUAUUUGUUUUCAUUUCAUUUUCUACACCAAACACUGACUAAAAUAGAUCUAACCACACGCAAGAACCUGGCACUUGUGUGUGCUUUCAAGGGAGAUUCAACAAAUUCAACAAAUUAAGCAAACUCAACGAAUUCAACUUAAUCGAAUUGUUGCGAUUGAAUAUUAAAUUUAUUUAUAAGGCCGGGGAGCAAGGUCCGAGGAGAUCCCCUCCUUGUGUUUGCCCUCGUUUCAUGCAGAAGUGACAAUUAUAUGAAUACAUAGUUAUUAAUCUCAAAUAUAUAUAUAUAUAUAUAUUGUAUACAUAUAUAUCAUAUACAUAUAUAUAUAUAAAACAUAUUAUAUAUAUAUACAACUCGACAAACCUUAACAAAACAAGAACGACAGUCAAGAAUCACAAAAAAAAAACUAGGAAAAACAUGCAACCCCAACACACGGAUCGCAAGCCGUCAAUAAUCAAGUAGUGAGAUUCUUGAUAUUGGAGACUUGACAUUGAUGUAAUUUUUGUAAUUAG